This is a non-coding RNA of Pelobates cultripes (western spadefoot toad), 252 nucleotides long. NCBI's taxonomy places the organism in Eukaryota, Metazoa, Chordata, Amphibia, Anura, Pelobatidae. The record is from the annotation of a GenBank genome assembly.
CGGCUGGGUACAUGACUCCAAGUAUCUUGCGGGCUUCUCAAGUCACUGAUCUACGGUCCCAGCAAUGCACCGAAGAAAUGAGCAAUUGGUCGAGGGUCACACAGGGGUUUAAGGCGACCCACGAGACGACCUCUUCCACAGUCGUCGGAGCCCCUGUAGUGGGCUUGUUCUCCGUCCCGCGGUGCCACUUGGGGGCAUCAUCAUAGUCCACCCCCCAUCGUCCUCUGCUUCCGAGAGGGACCAGUCUUCCCG